Molecule: ribosomal RNA, 253 nt
Filed under: uncultured bacterium
Lineage: Bacteria
Description: partial 16S ribosomal RNA
Rfam family: Bacterial small subunit ribosomal RNA
Source: RNAcentral
GACAGAGGUCCCAAGCGUUAGGCGGAAUCACUGGGCUUAAAGCGUGUGUAGGCGGAUGCCCAAGUACCUUGUGAAAUCCCACGGCUCACCCGUGGAACUGCUUGGUAUACUGGGUGUCUUGAGCCACUUAGGGGCUACCGGAACAAAUGGUGGAGCGGUGAAAUGCGUAGAUAUCAUUUGGAACGCCAAUGGUGAAAACAGGUAGCUGGGAGUGUGCUGACGCUGAGACACGAAAGCCAGGGGAGCGAACGGG